This is a long non-coding RNA of Hydra vulgaris (swiftwater hydra), 1176 nucleotides long. RefSeq annotates it as glutathionyl-hydroquinone reductase YqjG. The record is from RefSeq and is a predicted model, not a curated record. Lineage: Eukaryota; Metazoa; Cnidaria; Hydrozoa; Anthoathecata; Hydridae.
CUCAGGUGUAUUUAAUGCGCUAGAAAAAAACUGUAUCAAUUACCGUUUCUUAGCUGGUACUUCGUGCAACAUCCCGUAUAAUAUACAAAAAAAUAUACGGUAAUCUUAUAUCUAUUUGUUGAAAAUUAUAUGAGAAAUAAAGUUUAACAAUAUAUUUUUAAAAAACAUUGGCAUAAAAUGAGCGAUGAAGCUAUACGUGAUUAUAUUGCAACAAGCAAUGAUGAUAAAAGCAUAUAUAAAGUUGAUGAAGGAAGAUAUCAUUUAUAUUCAUGCGGUGGUUGCCCUUUUGCAAACAUGGCAACUAUUGUGCUUGCACUAAAAGGUCUUGAAAAAGUAGUAUCUGUUAGUUUAGUUGAUCCAGUAUUUGAUGCUGAAACUGGGUGGAGGUUUGCAUCAGAAGUUAAUGGUUGUACAGACAAUGUGUGUGGUAAAGUAUACUUAAAAGAUAUUUAUGAAAUGUCACAUCCGGAUUAUAAAGGGUUAACAUCUUUAGGGUACAGUAAACAAACCAAAAUUCCUAUUCUUUUUGACAAACAAACUAAUAAAAUAGUUAAUAAUGACUGCAUGGAUAUAAUGAAAAUGCUCAACACAUGUUUUAAUCAGUUUUUAUCGUCAGAAAAAUAUGCCCUUGUUAAUCUUUACCCAGAAGACAAGCAAAAGGAAAUUGAUGAGAUAAACCAGUGGAUAAACGAUGAUAUCAUUAUGGGCGUUUAUAAAUGUGGGUCAGCAAAAGUCCAAGAAGAAUACGACACACAUGUUAAUAAGUUGUUUAACAGUCUAGAUAAGGUAGAAGAGAUUCUCUCUAAAAGUAGAUACUUAACUGGAAAUAGUAUUACCUUGGUAGAUGUUCGCUUGUUUGCUUGUCUGGUUCGAUUUGACAGUUGCUAUUACACCUUAUUUAAGUGCUCAAAAAAACUGAUUAGCUGUUACAAAAACUUAUGGGGAUACACAAGAGAUAUUUACCAAACUGGAAAUGUCAAAAAUAUGAUCAACUUUAGUCAUAUUAAAUCAUUAUAUUGGUUAAACAAAACAAGAAACCCUAGUUUAAUUCUUCCAAUUGAUCCUUGUGCUGAUUUUUCAGAACCAAAUAAUAGAGAACAUGUUGGUAAUUAAGGUUGUUGGAGAAAAGAAAGAAAUUUAAAAUUUGAGGAGAUUAUGUCUAUUUGAUUUAGUUUG